Molecule: ribosomal RNA, 513 nt
Filed under: Chiropterotriton sp. F
Lineage: Eukaryota; Metazoa; Chordata; Amphibia; Caudata; Plethodontidae
Description: partial 16S ribosomal RNA
Rfam family: Bacterial large subunit ribosomal RNA
Source: RNAcentral
CGCCUUUUGAUAAAUAAAAAUAAAAGGUCCUGCCUGCCCAGUGAUAAUUAUUCAACGGCCGCGGUAUUAUGACCGUGCAAAGGUAGCAUAAUCACUUGUCUUUUAAAUCAAGACCAGUAUGAAUGGCAAGACGAAAGCCUAACUGUCUCCUUAAGUUAGUCAAUGAAAUUGAUUUUCUCGUGCAGAAGCGGGGAUAUAAAUAUAAGACGAGAAGACCCUGUGGAGUUUUAAAAUAAUAUUAUAUAAAUACUUACAAUAAUAUAAUUUUUUGGUUGGGGCGACCAUGAGGUAAAAGAAAACCCUCAAGAUAAUAACUAGAAGGACACUUCAAAGCAAAGUAAUACUUAUAUAUGACCCAAUUAUGAUCAAUGAACCAAAUUACCCCAGGGAUAACAGCGCAAUCCGUUUCCAAAGUCCAUAUUGACAAACGGGUUUACGACCUCGAUGUUGGAUCAGGACAUCCAAAUAGUGCAACAGCUAUUAAGGGUUCGUUUGUUCAACGAUUAAAGUCCU